UUAUGCGUUGUUGGGUAGGGGAGCGUUCUGUAAGCCUGCGAAGGUGGCCUGUGAGGGUUGCUGGAGGUAUCAGAAGUGCGAAUGCUGACAUAAGUAACGAUAAAGCGGGUGAAAAGCCCGCUCGCCGGAAGACCAAGGGUUCCUGUCCAACGUUAAUCGGGGCAGGGUGAGUCGACCCCUAAGGCGAGGCCGAAAGGCGUAGUCGAUGGGAAACAGGUUAAUAUUCCUGUACUUGGUGUUACUGCGAAGGGGGGACGGAGAAGGCUAUGUUGGCCGGGCGACGGUUGUCCCGGUUUAAGCGUGUAGGUGUGUGUUCCAGGUAAAUCCGGUUCACUUUAACACUGAGGCGUGACGACGAGGCACUACGGUGCUGAAGCAACAAAUGCCCUGCUUCCAGGAAAAGCCUCUAAGCAUCAGGUAACAUCAAAUCGUACCCCAAACCGACACAGGUGGUCAGGUAGAGAAUACCAAGGCGCUUGAGAGAACUCGGGUGAAGGAACUAGGCAAAAUGGUGCCGUAACUUCGGGAGAAGGCACGCUGACACGUAGGUGAAGUGAUUUACUCAUGGAGCUGAAGUCAGUCGAAGAUACCAGCUGGCUGCAACUGUUUAUUAAAAACACAGCACUGUGCAAACACGAAAGUGGACGUAUACGGUGUGACGCCUGCCCGGUGCCGGAAGGUUAAUUGAUGGGGUCAGCGCAAGCGAAGCUCCUGAUCGAAGCCCCGGUAAACGGCGGCCGUAACUAUAACGGUCCUAAGGUAGCGAAAUUCCUUGUCGGGUAAGUUCCGACCUGCACGAAUGGCGUAAUGAUGGCCAGGCUGUCUCCACCCGAGACUCAGUGAAAUUGAACUCGCUGUGAAGAUGCAGUGUACCCGCGGCAAGACGGAAAGACCCCGUGAACCUUUACUAUAGCUUGACACUGAACAUUGAGCCUUGAUGUGUAGGAUAGGUGGGAGGCUUUGAAGUGUGGACGCCAGUCUGCAUGGAGCCGACCUUGAAAUACCACCCUUUAAUGUUUGAUGUUCUAACGUGGACCCGUUACCCGGGUUGCGGACAGUGUCUGGUGGGUAGUUUGACUGGGGCGGUCUCCUCCUAAAGAGUAACGGAGGAGCACGAAGGUUGGCUAAUCCUGGUCGGACAUCAGGAGGUUAGUGCAAUGGCAUAAGCCAGCUUGACUGCGAGCGUGACGGCGCGAGCAGGUGCGAAAGCAGGUCAUAGUGAUCCGGUGGUUCUGAAUGGAAGGGCCAUCGCUCAACGGAUAAAAGGUACUCCGGGGAUAACAGGCUGAUACCGCCCAAGAGUUCAUAUCGACGGCGGUGUUUGGCACCUCGAUGUCGGCUCAUCACAUCCUGGGGCUGAAGUAGGUCCCAAGGGUAUGGCUGUUCGCCAUUUAAAGUGGUACGCGAGCUGGGUUUAGAACGUCGUGAGACAGUUCGGUCCCUAUCUGCCGUGGGCGCUGGAGAACUGAGGGGGGCUGCUCCUAGUACGAGAGGACCGGAGUGGACGCAUCACUGGUGUUCGGGUUGUCAUGCCAAUGGCACUGCCCGGUAGCUAAAUGCGGAAGAGAUAAGUGCUGAAAGCAUCUAAGCACGAAACUUGCCCCGA
RNAcentral lists this ribosomal RNA (1606 nucleotides) under Salmonella enterica subsp. enterica serovar Blockley. RNAcentral's name for it is "partial 23S ribosomal RNA". It matches the Rfam family "Bacterial large subunit ribosomal RNA", at positions 1214 to 2802 of the family's 2925-position model. Lineage: Bacteria; Pseudomonadati; Pseudomonadota; Gammaproteobacteria; Enterobacterales; Enterobacteriaceae. The record is from RNAcentral.